UCCAGAGAUGGAUUGGUGCCUUCGGGAACUGUGAGACAGGUGCUGCAUGGCUGUCGUCAGCUCGUGUUGUGAAAUGUUGGGUUAAGUCCCGCAACGAGCGCAACCCUUAUCCUUUGUUGCCAGCGGUUCGGCCGGGAACUCAAAGGAGACUGCCAGUGAUAAACUGGAGGAAGGUGGGGAUGACGUCAAGUCAUCAUGGCCCUUACGACCAGGGCUACACACGUGCUACAAUGGCAUAUACAAAGAGAAGCGACCUCGCGAGAGCAAGCGGACCUCAUAAAGUAUGUCGUAGUCCGGAUUGGAGUCUGCAACUCGACUCCAUGAAGUCGGAAUCGCUAGUAAUCGUAGAUCAGAAUGCUACGGUGAAUACGUUCCCGGGCCUUGUACACACCGCCCGUCACACCAUGGGAGUGGGUUGCAAAAGAAGUAGGUAGCUUAACCUUCGGGAGGGCGCUUACCACUUUGUGAUUCAUGACUGGGGUGAAGUCGUAACAAGGUAACCGUAGGGGAACCUGCGGUUGGAUCACCUCCUUACCUUAAAGAA
RNAcentral lists this ribosomal RNA (544 nucleotides) under Klebsiella pneumoniae. Its description in RNAcentral is "bacterial SSU rRNA". It matches the Rfam family "Bacterial small subunit ribosomal RNA", at positions 999 to 1533 of the family's 1533-position model. The record is from RNAcentral. Lineage: Bacteria; Pseudomonadati; Pseudomonadota; Gammaproteobacteria; Enterobacterales; Enterobacteriaceae.